ACCAGGCGUCGAGCGGCGGACGGGUGAGUAACGCGUAGGAACCUACCUGAUAGAGGGGGAUAGCCCAGAGAAAUUUGGAUUAAUACCGCAUAAUGUCUUAUGACCAAAGGGGGGCUUUUAGCCUCUCGCUAUCAGAUGGGCCUGCGUAAGAUUAGCUUGUUGGUACGGUAAUGGCGUACCAAGGCGACGAUCUUUAGCUGGUCUGAGAGGAUGAUCAGUCACACUGGAACUGAGACACGGUCCAGACUCC
Molecule: ribosomal RNA, 250 nt
Filed under: uncultured bacterium
Lineage: Bacteria
Description: partial 16S ribosomal RNA
Rfam family: Bacterial small subunit ribosomal RNA
Source: RNAcentral